GAUGAACGCUGGCGGCGUGCCUAAUACAUGCAAGUCGAGCGAACGGACGAGAAGCUUGCUUCUCUGAUGUUAGCGGCGGACGGGUGAGUAACACGUGGAUAACCUACCUAUAAGACUGGGAUAACUUCGGGAAACCGUAGCUAAUACCGGAUAAUAUUUUGAACCGCAUGGUUCAAAAGUGAAAGACGGUCUUACUGUCACUUAUAGAUGGAUCCGCGCUGCAUUAGCUAGUUGGUAAGGUAACGGCUUACCAAGGCAACGAUGCAUAGCCGACCUGAGAGGGUGAUCGGCCACACUGGAACUGAGACACGGUCCAGACUCCUACGGGAGGCAGCAGUAGGGAAUCUUCCGCAAUGGGCGAAAGCCUGACGGAGCAACGCCGCGUGAGUGAUGAAGGUCUUCGGAUCGUAAAACUCUGUUAUUAGGGAAGAACAUAUGUGUAAGUAACUGUGCACAUCUUGACGGUACCUAAUCAGAAAGCCACGGCUAACUACGUG
Molecule: ribosomal RNA, 497 nt
Filed under: uncultured bacterium
Lineage: Bacteria
Description: partial 16S ribosomal RNA
Rfam family: Bacterial small subunit ribosomal RNA
Source: RNAcentral